CCGAUUUGUUUCGUGUCCAAGUUCAAUUGUCCUGUUCUGUAAUUUGCCUUCCACCCGAAGUUGACUAACUGAUGCAGUUUUUCCCAGCGCCUUUAAAUAGAUGUAGUCUGUUAAACCUACGCAGUGAAUAGGAGCUGAUAAUGUAUUUAACAAGUUGAGAUAGUUUUCGGCUCUACAGCAAAGAAGACAGUUUUACAGGAUAAUUGUAUCGUAAAUUUACGAGUUUCAUCUCAAAUUACUUAAUUUUGGAAGUCGAGAACGGUAGAUUUCAACAUUUUCCGACGCAGAUUAACCCGCCUCCAACGCAACUUUAAUCCGAUAGUUCCACACGUUGGCCACAUAUUAUACGAUCUUUCAUUUUUUAAAAGCGGUAGAUUUGAAUUUGUUUGUUCGGUUUUCAAAUCUCCCUCUUUAUAUUUUUCAUUUUUGACCGAAGUAUAAACGCGGCCCACACUAAUACCUAGGUAAGGGACGGAAUUUUUAAAUUACAACUCUGUAGUCAGUUUUAUUUGUUAAUAAGUUGGUGGGUGUCGGCUUCUGGCCAUGUCUAGGAACAAGCAGUUGAGUGAUUCUACUUCUAAUCUUUGAAUUAUCUUGACGUGAAACGGCGAUAACUGAUAAACGUGAAAGCGGAUAACUGCUGGCACACAAGCAGAAGUAAGUCUUCCUAAUAUUAUUCGUAUUUUAGUUAAAGCGCUGGAUUUAUUGAGCUUUGAGGUUUCAUUGGCUGUCCAACAAAUUUGGGCGCAAUCACCUUGGAGACGGAACGGACGAUGGAAUCAGCCCAGACUUAAUCCAUUUUUGGGGUAUGUGAAAUUUAAUUUUCUUGUGGUUUCAAUCGGGUCUGAUGCCUCGCCUAAUUAUGGUCUGUCGUUGUUAAGUUUACGGCUCAUUCUGAUAUCUGAUGUCUUCCGGGUAUACCACCAAAGAUCAGCAAAUCGAAACGAAAUCUUUUCUUUGUUAAUUUUUUAUCGUAGGGCUGGAAUGUCCUAAUUUGAUUUACUAUUGGGACUUCUGGGUCGAAUUUGUCUCGAUUUCUAUUAACUUUUUUUUCACUUUCCGCCAUUUCAGAUACAUUUUUAUUCCCAUUACUACUGCGAGUAAUCCGAUUUAAGUUGUGGGCAUAAUUAUGUUUGUUUGUUUCAUCGAAUAAACAGGAAUACGAAUUUCUUGUUUUUCGCCUCUCCUCUGCUGUUACUCCAUUGGCAUUUCGUAAUUUUCAUUUCACUUUAAAUUUCCAUCCUCCAUUUCCAUUUUCCUAGUAAUUUGAAAAAAGGUGGGCGGGGGCGGGGCUUUGUUGUCGUAGACUUGGCCAGAGUAAUUUUGUUUCCAUCCUAGAAUAUUAGACCAUUGGAGGUACAGUGAGGACCCUUAAUCCAUUUAAUCAGGACGAAUUCCGGUUUUUCCAUUGUUUGGUAUCCAUUAUCAAUUCCUAUCAUUUGGCCGACCGUUCUGGAAUUCUAUUCCUGUAUCCUGAAGUGGAAUUUAUCAUUAGAAUCUAUCGAAUCCGACAAUUUUAAUACAAUUUAAUUUGGUUGAUAUCUUACCUACAAACGGACCGACACGGGCUUUCCUCUAGAUUUAAUUUCUCGUCUCUAAUCUUCAUCUCCAAUCACUUGUUUGAACCUAACCACAGUUUGUUUGAUAUAAGUGUUAACUUUAAUAUAAUUUUAAUUUUUGUCUCUCGAUACCCACCACCUAUUAAUCAUCAAUCAGCAUCAGCACAGGGGAAUAGAGAGACACUUCUACUCCCCUAAUGUUAAGGAUGUUCAGCAAUGAAUUUAUACGCAGAGUAGUUAAAGUUAAAAGAAACGAUGGUGAAUCUCCUCCGAUUAUUUCCCGUCAAAAAGUUAUUGACUCAGUAAUUGCACGAUUACGUUACAUAAUUUUUCGUAGUCGUUAUUCUGAUGCAAGCAUUGCUCAAUUGCAUUGGAAAUAAUGAUUUGUUUUUUAAAUGUUCUAAAAAUGAGAAAGUUAAUUGCAAAUGACGUCAUUCCGUUAGUUUUAUUCCUUAUUUAGGCUACAUCCAGCAUACACCGUGCCUCUAGCCGUUAACUGUCAAAACUUCCUGCUUUAGCAAGUGUCAAUUUGUGUUUCAUUUUUAUUUGGCUUAUAAAAAUUUCUACUCUCUACUCUGGAUGCCGAUUGGCUGUCGAAUGCUCACUGUCGAAUGAUGGCGGACAUGAAAACGACUAGCAGCACUAGAUACCGUCAAAACUAAGGGAUGUAAGAAAUACUCUUCCCUCGAUCAUGGAUCCCCUUGGAAAAAUAAGGAAUCUAGCUACUACCUCUUAUUUUUAUCUCGUUCUCCAUCCAUUUAAAUUUUUAAAUUUUCUUUCUAGUUACGACGCGGCUGGAGAAACCAAGUGAUGUCCGGUCGACGGAAGCAAAGUUAGCAAAAUCAGAGUAUCGGAAUUACCAGCGGCAUCCGCUUGAUCCAGCGAACAGAGCAAAUGAACUACAUCCAAAUAAAGAGACUGGAUACUGAAAUGUAUGGUUUUAAACAAGCGUGUUGGCUAGAGCUAUUUGAUUCAACCUAUGGGAUUCACCAUGAUCAUUGUGGAAUCUGUCAUCACUUUCAGGUGCUGUGCUUCCAGAUAGCCAGGACCGAAGACAAGGGUCAAUCCUUUUACAGUCCAAAGUUGUAAUCAACAAGGCCAAACAGAUAGCAACAUGAUCGACCAGGUACGACAGGAAAGCAGCAUCAGCCUCCAGUUGAAAAGCUAGUCGCUGAUGGACUGAUUCAACAAGCAAAUCCAACAGCGACGCCCUAUGCAGUUGCUGCUGCCACGUCCUAUUCGGCACCAACCCCAUCCCAAAUCGCUAAUCUAAGUGUAGAAGCAUCGCCUCUAGUUUGACUGCCCAGCAGAUUCAGACGCUUAUCCCUUCACCAAGUCAUUCCUCAUCCAAGGAACGUGGAACUGCGAUCGUGGUUCCAGCAUUCUGCACAAGUUAGAAGAAAAGACAAAGCUACAAAGUCCAGCGUUCUGAGCAAGACGAAGCAAUGAAAUGUUUCACAGCGCAUCACAAACAACUUAGCUGAAGAUUCACAAGCGGAUACCAACGAUGGCAAAAGAAGAGCGUGAAGUAGGAAGAAAUUGCCUCAAACAAACUAAAAAAAGUGAAGAAGGUUUUGAUGUGCAGUUUCGUUAACAACAAAAAAAACCAAUGCAGACUUAUCCAAUCUACCUUGAAGACAAAAUGGAAAAGUCUUCCUUACAAGGGUGGAGAAAAACCGAAGCUACAAAUUAACACACCCAUUCUAUUUUGCUUCAUGUCAAGCUUUUAUAAAUUUUAAGUGUGAUUGAUAAAUAUUUAUGUAUUGUGUAAAAACUAAGUUGAAAAAUAAAACACAUGAAAACAUU
Molecule: long non-coding RNA, 3365 nt
Organism: Daphnia pulicaria
Lineage: Eukaryota; Metazoa; Arthropoda; Branchiopoda; Diplostraca; Daphniidae
Exons: 7
Source: RefSeq, a predicted model, not a curated record